RNAcentral lists this long non-coding RNA (535 nucleotides) under Setaria italica (foxtail millet). RNAcentral describes it as "long non-coding RNA (SITA_LNC005058)". Lineage: Eukaryota; Viridiplantae; Streptophyta; Magnoliopsida; Poales; Poaceae. The record is from RNAcentral.
GAACAGAUAGAGCGACAAUAAGGGAAGAUACCACCAGCGCUGAUCUAAGCAUUACAAUGUUUGGGUAUGUCUGCUGAUUUGGAGGUAGCAAUUCCUCCAAACUCAGGGCGAGAGGAGUCAUGGUUAGUGCAUAUGUGGGUAUUAGUUAAGGACAGAACAUCUGAUCCAUGUCAAAACUAUUGACCAACAUAGGGUAAAAGUUAAGCUAAAUUUGUUCAUCAGAAGUGGAUUGGAUGUUUGAAGUUGAUACCACAUUGCUUUGGGAAGAGAAUUAUAGCAAGAUAUGACAUAACAUUAAUUGUAAAGUACGGUAAACGAAGGUGUAUGGGCAGCUGAAAUAAUAGGCCAAGGAUAUUUAGUUAUUGGAUUUGUCACCUGCAUGAAAACAAAAGGCACACAUUAUCAGAAGGAUAUAAUUUGCCGCAUAACAGCAUUUUAGUACUCAUAAUGUGACUGGGCUUGAUUAUGCUCUAUCAAAUGCAGUAUGUGAACUGCUAGAAGCCAAAUUCUGCCUUUUCAAAUCUAGUCUUCUGAA